This 270-nucleotide ribosomal RNA is filed under the name uncultured bacterium. RNAcentral describes it as "partial 16S ribosomal RNA". It matches the Rfam family "Bacterial small subunit ribosomal RNA", at positions 1222 to 1500 of the family's 1533-position model. The record is from RNAcentral.
GUGUUACAAUGGCAGGUACAGAGGGGUGCUACCGGGUGACCGGAUGCCGAUCUCGAAAACCUGUCCCAGUUCGGACUGGAGUCUGCAACCCGACUCCACGAAGUUGGAUUCGCUAGUAAUCGCGCAUCAGCCAUGGCGCGGUGAAUACGUUCCCGGGCCUUGUACACACCGCCCGUCAAGCCAUGGGAGCCGGGGGCGCCUGAAGUCCGGGACCGCGAGGACCGGCCUAGGGCGAAACUGGUGACUGGGGCUAAGUCGUAACAAGGUAAC